AGUGAACGCUGGCGGUAGGCCUAACACAUGCAAGUCGAACGGCAGCACAGUCAGCGCUCGCUCUUACGGGUGGCGAGUGGCGGAUAGGUGAGGAAAACAUCGGAAUUUAUUUUUUCGAGGGGGAUAACGUAGGGAAACUUACGCCAAUCCCCCAUACGACCUACGGGUGAAAGCAGAGGACCUCCCGCCAUUGCGCGAUUGAAUGUCCCGAUGUCGGAUUAGCUAGUUGGCGGGGUAAAGGCCCACCAAGGCGACGAUCCGUAGCUGGUCUGAGAGGAUGACCAGCCACACUGGAACUGAGACACGGCCCAGACUCCUACGGGAGGCAGCAGUGGGGAAUAUUGGACAAUGGGCGCAAGCCUGAUCCAGCCAUGCCGCGUGGGGGAAGAAGGCCUUCGGGUUGUAAAGCGCUUUUGUUGGGGAAGAAAAGCAGCAGGUUAAUACCCCGGGGUGCUGACGGUACCCAAAGAAUAAGCACCGGCUAACUUCGUG
This 492-nucleotide ribosomal RNA is filed under the name uncultured bacterium. RNAcentral's name for it is "partial 16S ribosomal RNA". It matches the Rfam family "Bacterial small subunit ribosomal RNA", at positions 29 to 507 of the family's 1533-position model. The record is from RNAcentral.